This 1047-nucleotide long non-coding RNA is filed under the name Sarcophilus harrisii (Tasmanian devil). RNAcentral describes it as "lncRNA (ENSSHAG00000025443.1)". Lineage: Eukaryota; Metazoa; Chordata; Mammalia; Dasyuromorphia; Dasyuridae. The record is from RNAcentral.
GGAGGCUGUAGAUGCUGAAGUAUUUCCAUGGGCUCAAGGAUUUCGGAGCUGAGUGCCUUAAGAGUUCCUAGCUUCAGACAGGAAGAUGGCUAUUCCUCUGGGUUUAGAGUUCAUAAGUCAUCACCAAUUCUUCAGUACUGCUGGUUCCAUGUCUUAUAAUCAUAUGACAACUGUAAAAUAUUGGCAUUAAAAAAGAGAGGCUUUUGUUUGAGGAAGAUAUCUGGGGUCAUUAAAAGGGCGUCUCCGCCUUCCUGAGAAAUCAGGAAGCUUGACAACCUGAGAAGUCAGGAGGCAUGACAACCUGUGUUGUUCUUGAAGCAGAGUUAUGGCAAGGAAACAUCUGCACACAAUAGCAAGUUGUUUAUGUGGUCCUGCAUGUGCAGUAUCCUAAUAAACAGACUCUGUUAGACCAUCCUCAUGAGUUCCGCCUCAUCACUCCUCACCCAUGAUCAGGACUUGGGCUGGUACCGAAGACCUCCCGUGGGCAGGUCCAGACAAAAUCCAACCUCAGACACCUACUAGUUGUUUGAGCCUGCGCAAGUCACUUAACCCUGAUUUGUCUAGGUUUCCUGGAGCUAGAAAAGGAAAUGGCAAAGCAUGUCAAUAUUUCUGCUAAGAAAACCUCAGGUGCAAGAUGGCCUGACCAUCCACACAGGAAAUAUCAAGUGGAUAAAGAAUUAUUUCAUCUGCUUAGAUAAUGACAAUUCUAAAAGAGUCACACACAACUGAAGAGAUUCAACAACAACAGCAAGAGUGAGCUUGGCAACCAGGAAACUCUGGCAAGUCAUUAACCUGCUUUAUCUUUGUGUUCACCAUUUCCUUUGACAAAUGUAAACAAUACCACCUUCUCUACCAAUGCUCUCACAGGUUCACUGCAGCUGUGUAGCUCAUACAAGGUGGCUGGUCUUCCCACAUUCAAGAUGGAAUUAGUUGGAGUCAAAGCAGACAAAGGAAUCCUCCUUUCAAAGUAAAUAUUAAAAGGAAGAUGAGAUCAAAUAUUUUUCAGUCCUUGAAAUAAUCUGCAAGUCACCUUUAUACAUAAAAAAU